RNAcentral lists this long non-coding RNA (785 nucleotides) under Ananas comosus (pineapple). Its description in RNAcentral is "long non-coding RNA (ACOM_LNC042415)". Lineage: Eukaryota; Viridiplantae; Streptophyta; Magnoliopsida; Poales; Bromeliaceae. The record is from RNAcentral.
UUUGGUGUAUAAAUAAAUGCAUUCUGUGUGUGUAUGGCAAAAUAACUUUUGGGGUGCGUUUGGUUCGCAUUAUGAAAGAUUAUUAGGAGAUAUCCGAGAAUCUUAUUCUUAUUCAUCUUUUUACUAAGAAUGUGGAAUUCUUAUGUUUGGUUCGCACGGUAAUAUUAAUUAGCCAUAUUAUUUAAUAUUACAAAAAAUAUACAAUUAAUUAAUUUAUUUAUUUAAUUAAUUUUAGAUAAUGUUACCAAAAGUUUCAACAUCUUUUUAGAAAAAAGAGAGAGAGAGUAUAAGUUAGAGAGAGAGAGCAUAAUUAAAAAAAUAGAAAGAAAAAUAUAGUCAAAAUUAGAGGAAGCGAGAGAGUUGAAAUUUUAGAAAGAGAGAGAGAGAAAGCUUAGUUUAGAGAGAUAAAAAAAGUUGAAUUUUAGAGAGAAAAAUAAGUUUAGAGAGAGAUAUAAGGUUAGAGUGUAAAAAAAAAUAAUAUCAAUUAGUCGGCGGGUAAAAAGAAAGAAAGAGAUUAGACAUAUUAUGAUUACCCCAAUCCAUUAAUAUAAGGAUACCCACCUUCCCUCAAGGGAAUGAGAUUAGUACUUUGGGGUGAAUCUUAUUCCCAAGUGAAUCUAAUAUUAUCAACUAGAUUAUUUAGUGCGUUAGCCAAACACCGUCAUAUUUUUUUAUUCUCAUUGGAUUACUAGUAAUCUUUAAAAGAUAGCGCGAACCAAACGCACCCUUGAUGUUAAAAUCACCAAUGUAUUUGAUCUAUCACCACAUCUAAAAAUUCAUAACUA